Molecule: long non-coding RNA, 1008 nt
Filed under: Nicotiana benthamiana
Lineage: Eukaryota; Viridiplantae; Streptophyta; Magnoliopsida; Solanales; Solanaceae
Description: long non-coding RNA (NBEN_LNC029356)
Source: RNAcentral
CAACACAAACUUAACAGCAUAUCUUGAACCAACAACUUUAAUUUUUUAAACACUCAUACAGAGACAAACAAUCAGAUCUGAAGCUGAAAUUUCAGUCAAAUAAUAUGCGAAAAAGUGAAAUACAAUUGUUUAAGCGCAAGAAACAAGUCUCGAAAUUCAGUGACAAGCAAACGACGGAAAUAUGAGCUUCAAAAGCAUUUGGUAGGUAGCGAUGAUCCAAACCAAAGAGAAAUUGGAAAACAUAAGCUUCAUUAAAACAUUUCCUCAAUAUAACAGAGGAAAGAAAUCAGAUAUACACAGCUCUUGCUUCUGUAAUCCAACGAGAAAGAACAAUAAAACCUAAGAAAGAACUUUCGACCGGGACUAAAACCUGGAACCUCGAUGAACUCAGAACGACAAACGACAACCUCGAAAGGAUGGUGGUUUUUAGUUGAGCUACGGUGGUGACAGAAUGCUGUGGUCAAGUUGCAAAUGUUUGUGGCUAUGUUUUCCGGCGGGCUGGGUCGUUUGGUUCACUGAAAGUUAACGCCUGAAGCUUGGUGGACGCUGGUCGUUUGGUUGUGACAGUGGUUAUUUUCGCCGGAUUUCCGGCCAGUUACGGUGGGGGAAGGAGCAGCAGCUCUUGAGAGGAGGGAGUUCGUUGGUUGGUUGGUUUUAAUGGAGAAGAAGGUGCAGCUGCCAUUGGUUGUUCGUGUAUAUAGGUGGCGAUGGGUGUUGUCAUGGCUGAUGCUAUCGUGAAGUAGAUGAAGGGGUCAUUGUAUGCUGGCCGGAAAAUGGAGACGCUGGCUGUGCUUUGGAGAUGGAGUCUAGGUUGCUAGGGUUUUUGGUUUUUCAUGGUGAUGAAGGCUGAAAAAGGAGCAGCGUGUAUGUCUCUCCUUUGCACUGUGCGGCUGAAGCUUCUCUAAUGUAGUCUAGCUCAGAUUUUAGGUGGGAAAAAUGGGGCGGGUCCUGGGUGUUGGGUCGGGUCAGGCAGGUUUGGGCUUGGGUUGUUUGAGAAUUGGGUAAAAG